CUCGGCAAGGUGUAAAUGGGGAUCGCAAGCUCAUGCUCUGAGCGGCGAUCCGAUAGCUAGUGGUAGGUAAGCACCAGCAUCGAUCAGUAGCUGGUUGAGAGGACGCAGCACACUGACUGAGACCGGUCAGACUCUACGGAGCAGCAGUGGGGAAUUUGACAUGGCGCAAGCCUGAUCCAGCAAUGCGCGUGAGUGAGAGGCCUUCGGGUGUAAAGCUCUUUGUCAGGGAGAAACGGUGGAGGCUAUAUCCUUUGCUAAUGACGGUACCUGAAGAAUAAGCACCGGCUAACUACGUGCCAGCAGCGCGGUAAUACGUAGGGUGCAAGCGUUAAUCGGAAUUACUGGGCGUAAAGCGUGCGCAGGCGGUUUUGUAAGUUUGUCGUGAAAUCCCCGGGCUCAACCUGGGAAUGGCGAUGAAGACUGCAAGGCUAGAAUCUGGCAGAGGGGGGUAGAAUUCCACGUGUAGCAGUGAAAUGCGUAGAGAUGUGGAGGAACACCGAUGGCGAAGGCAGCCCCCUGGGUCAAGAUUGACGCUCAUGCACGAAAGCGUGGGGAGCAAACAGGAUUAGAUACCCUGGUAGUCCACGCCCUAAACGAUGUCUACUAGUUGUCGGGUUUUAAUUAACUUGGUAACGCAGCUAACGCGUGAAGUAGACCGCCUGGGGAGUACGGUCGCAAGAUUAAAACUCAAAGGAAUUGACGGGGACCCGCACAAGCGGUGGAUGAUGUGGAUUAAUUCGAUGCAACGCGAAAAACCUUACCUACCCUUGACAUGUACGGAAGCCACGAGAGAUCGAGGCGUGCUCGAAAGAGAGCCGUAACACAGGUGCUGCAUGGCUGUCGUCAGCUCGUGUCGUGAGAUGUUGGGUUAAGUCCCGCAACGAGCGCAACCCUUGUCAUUAGUUGCUACGAAAGAGCACUCUAAUGAGACUGCCGGUGACAAACCGGAGGAAGGUGGGGAUGACGUCAAGUCCUCAUGGCCCUUAUGGGUAGGGCUUCACACGUCAUACAAUGGUACAUACAGAGGGCCGCCAACCCGCGAGGGGGAGCUAAUCCCAGAAAGUGCAUCGUAGUCCGGAUUGUAGUCUGCAACUCGACUACAUGAAGUUGGAAUCGCUAGUAAUCGCGGAUCAGCAUUCGCGGAAUGCUC
This 1150-nucleotide ribosomal RNA is filed under the name uncultured bacterium. RNAcentral's name for it is "bacterial SSU rRNA". It matches the Rfam family "Bacterial small subunit ribosomal RNA", at positions 190 to 1369 of the family's 1533-position model. The record is from RNAcentral.